Molecule: ribosomal RNA, 253 nt
Filed under: uncultured bacterium
Lineage: Bacteria
Description: partial 16S ribosomal RNA
Rfam family: Bacterial small subunit ribosomal RNA
Source: RNAcentral
UACGUAGGUGACGAGCGUUAUCCGGAAUUACUGGGCGUAAAGCGCACGCAAGCGGUUGGACAAGUCUGGCGUGAAAUCUCCUGGCUUAACUAGGAGCGGUCGCUGGAAACUGUCGAGCUUGAGGCGAUGAGAGGGGUGCAGAAUUCCCGGUGUAGUGGUGGAAUGCGUAGAGAUCGGGAGGAAUACCAGUGGUGAAAGCGGCACCCUGGCGUCGUACUGACGCACAUGUGCGAAAGCGUGGGGAGCGAACGGG